GUACUGGUUAGGGAUGACUCACGGGCGC
RNAcentral lists this small RNA (28 nucleotides) under Bombyx mori (domestic silkworm). Its description in RNAcentral is "ovarian small RNA-17642". The record is from RNAcentral. Lineage: Eukaryota; Metazoa; Arthropoda; Insecta; Lepidoptera; Bombycidae.